This 375-nucleotide ribosomal RNA is filed under the name uncultured bacterium. Its description in RNAcentral is "bacterial SSU rRNA". It matches the Rfam family "Bacterial small subunit ribosomal RNA", at positions 521 to 896 of the family's 1533-position model. The record is from RNAcentral.
UAAUACGAGAGGCCCAAACGUUAUUCGGAAUUACUGGGCUUAAAGAGUUCGUAGGCGGCGCGGAAAGUAGGGUGUGAAAGCCCUCGGCUCAACCGAGGAAUUGCGCUCUAAACUACCGUGCUUGAGGAACCUAGAGGUGAGCAGAACUGAUGGUGGAGCGGUGAAAUGCGUUGAUAUCAUCAGGAAUACCGGAGGCGAAGGCGGCUCACUGGGGGUUUUCUGACGCUGAGGAACGAAAGCCAGGGGAGCGAACGGGAUUAGAUACCCCGGUAGUCCUGGCCGUAAACGAUGAGCACUAGGCCGGAGCCCUGCACAGGGUUUCGGCCGUAGCUAAAGUGUUAAGUGCUCCGCCUGGGGAGUAUGGUCGCAAGGCUG